GAACUACGACGUGCGGCGACUGCCUAACACAUGCAAGUCGAACGAGACCUUCGGGUCUAGUGGCGCACGGGUGCGUAACGCGUGGGAAUCUGCCCUUGGGUUCGGAAUAACUCGCCGAAAGGCGUGCUAAUACCGGAUGGUGUCGUAAGACCAAAGAUUUAUCGCCCAGGGAUGAGCCCGCGUAAGAUUAGGUAGUUGGUGAGGUAAAGGCUCACCAAGCCGACGAUCUUUAGCUGGUCUGAGAGGAUGAUCAGCCACACUGGGGCUGAGACACGGCCCAG
RNAcentral lists this ribosomal RNA (281 nucleotides) under uncultured bacterium. Its description in RNAcentral is "partial 16S ribosomal RNA". It matches the Rfam family "Bacterial small subunit ribosomal RNA", at positions 45 to 334 of the family's 1533-position model. The record is from RNAcentral.